RNAcentral lists this ribosomal RNA (497 nucleotides) under uncultured bacterium. Its description in RNAcentral is "partial 16S ribosomal RNA". It matches the Rfam family "Bacterial small subunit ribosomal RNA", at positions 28 to 507 of the family's 1533-position model. The record is from RNAcentral.
GAUGAACGCUGGCGGCGUGCCUAAUACAUGCAAGUCGAGCGCACGGACGAGAAGCUUGCUUCUCUGAUGUUAGCGGCGGACGGGCGAGUAACACGUGGAUAACCUACCUAUAAGACUGGGAUAACUUCGGGAAACCGGAGCUAAUACCGUAUAAUAUUUUGAACCGCAUUGUUCAAAAGUGAAAGACGGUCUUGUUGUCACUUAUAGAUGGAUCCGCGCUGCAUUAGCUAGUGGGUAAGGUAACGGCUUACCAAGGCAACGAUGCAUAGCCGACCUGAGAGGGUGAUCGGCCACACUGGAACUGAGACACGGUCCGGACUCCUACGGGAGGAAGCAGUAGGGAAUCUUCCGCAAUGGGCGAAAGCCUGACGGAGCAACGCCGCGUGAGUGAUGAAGGUCUUCGGAUCGUAAAACUCUGUUAUUAGGGAAGAACAUAUGUGUAAGUAACUGUGCACAUCUUGACGGUACCUAAUCAGAAAGCCACGGCUAACUACGUG